GAUGAACGCUGGCGGCGUGCCUAAUACAUGCAAGUCGAGCGAACAGAUGAGGAGCUUGCUCCUCUGACGUUAGCGGCGGACGGGUGAGUAACACGUGGAUAACCUACCUAUAAGACUGGGAUAACUUCGGGAAACCGGAGCUAAUACCGGAUAAUAUAUUGAACCGCAUGGUUCAAUAGUGAAAGACGGUUUUGCUGUCACUUAUAGAUGGAUCCGCGCCGCAUUAGCUAGUUGGUAAGUUAACGGCUUACCAAGGCAACGAUGCGUAGCCGACCUGAGAGGGUGGUCGGCCACACUGGAACUGAGACACGGUCCAGACUCCUACGGGAGGCAGCAGUAGGGAAUCUUCCGCAAUGGGCGAAAGCCUGACGGAGCAACGCCGCGUGAGUGAUGAAGGUCUUCGGAUCGUAAAACUCUGUUAUUAGGGAAGAACAAAUGUGUAAGUAACUAUGCACGUCUUGACGGUACCUAAUCAGAAAGCCACGGCUAACUACGUG
RNAcentral lists this ribosomal RNA (497 nucleotides) under uncultured bacterium. RNAcentral describes it as "partial 16S ribosomal RNA". It matches the Rfam family "Bacterial small subunit ribosomal RNA", at positions 28 to 507 of the family's 1533-position model. The record is from RNAcentral.